GCUCAGGUGGCUUAGUUGUUAAAGCGUCCGCCUUGGAUGUGGGAGGUCGUGGAUUCGAUCCCCGGUCAAGUCAUAGCA
This is a non-coding RNA of Potamilus streckersoni, 78 nucleotides long. Lineage: Eukaryota; Metazoa; Mollusca; Bivalvia; Unionida; Unionidae. The record is from the annotation of a GenBank genome assembly.